Molecule: ribosomal RNA, 500 nt
Filed under: uncultured bacterium
Lineage: Bacteria
Description: bacterial SSU rRNA
Rfam family: Bacterial small subunit ribosomal RNA
Source: RNAcentral
AACGCUGGCGGCGUGCCUAACACAUGCAAGUCGAACGGAGAUUAACGCUGAUGAAGCUUCGGCAGAUUCUGUUAAAUCUAGUGGCGGACGGGUGAGUAACGCGUGGGCAACCUGCCUCAUACUGGGGGAUAACAGCUGGAAACGACUGUUAAUACCGCAUAAGCGCACAGCAUCGCAUGAUGCAGUGUGAAAAAACUCCGGUGGUAUGAGAUGGGCCCGCGUCAGAUUAGCCAGUUGGCAGGGUAACGGCCUACCAAAGCGACGAUCUGUAGCCGGCCUGAGAGGGCGGACGGCCACAUUGGGACUGAGACACGGCCCAAACUCCUACGGGAGGCAGCAGUGGGGGAUAUUGCACAAUGGAGGAAACUCUGAUGCAGCGACGCCGCGUGAGUGAAGAAGUAUUUCGGUAUGUAAAGCUCUAUCAGCAGGGAAGAAAGACUCGUAAGAGAGAUGACGGUACCUGACUAAGAAGCCCCGGCUAACUACGUGCCAGCCGCAGC